Molecule: ribosomal RNA, 280 nt
Filed under: uncultured Caulobacterales bacterium
Lineage: Bacteria; Pseudomonadati; Pseudomonadota; Alphaproteobacteria; Caulobacterales
Description: partial 16S ribosomal RNA
Rfam family: Bacterial small subunit ribosomal RNA
Source: RNAcentral
GUGCCAGCAGCCGCGGUAAUACGAAGGGGGCUAGCGUUGCUCGGAAUUACUGGGCGUAAAGGGAGCGUAGGCGGACAUUUAAGUCAGGGGUGAAAUCCCGGGGCUCAACCUCGGAAUUGCCUUUGAUACUGGGUGUCUUGAGUAUGAGAGAGGUGUGUGGAACUCCGAGUGUAGAGGUGAAAUUCGUAGAUAUUCGGAAGAACACCAGUGGCGAAGGCGACACACUGGCUCAUUACUGACGCUGAGGCUCGAAAGCGUGGGGAGCAAACAGGAUUAGAUA